GGCUGUAGCUCAGCGGCAGAGCGCUUGCUUUGCAUGCAUGGGGCACUGGGUUCGAUCUUCAGCACCA
RNAcentral lists this transfer RNA (67 nucleotides) under Marmota monax (woodchuck). RNAcentral's name for it is "tRNA.Ala". It matches the Rfam family "tRNA", at positions 6 to 65 of the family's 71-position model. Rfam says of the family: Transfer RNA (tRNA) molecules are approximately 80 nucleotides in length. The record is from RNAcentral. Lineage: Eukaryota; Metazoa; Chordata; Mammalia; Rodentia; Sciuridae.